GCUGUCGUAGCUCAGUGGUAGAGCAAUUCGUUGGUAACGAAUAGGUCGGGAGUUCGAGUCUCCCCGUCAGCACCA
Molecule: transfer RNA, 75 nt
Filed under: Paracoccaceae bacterium
Lineage: Bacteria; Pseudomonadati; Pseudomonadota; Alphaproteobacteria; Rhodobacterales; Paracoccaceae
Description: Rhodobacteraceae bacterium tRNA-Thr
Rfam family: tRNA
About the family: Transfer RNA (tRNA) molecules are approximately 80 nucleotides in length.
Source: RNAcentral